UUCGCUACUUUUCAGACAAAAGGAACCGCUUAUCCUCCGCUGGCCGGGAAGCGUGUCCCCGGCUCUGGGAGAAGGGGAGGUUGUGAGCUUGAUGGGAAGACGAUCGAUAUCGUAAAGGGGGAGCUCCAACGCGAGCACGUACUGCGUCUUCAUCCCUGGAUUCAGGCUACGCAGGGCUGUGCCUGCGUCCCCGUGCUGCUGGCAGGCCGAGGAGAGGCUCCAGUGCAAGCCCAAGGACCUGUGCUUCUCCAGCAGAAGGGCGCGAGUUCUGCACCAGGGUGGCCUGCGAGGAUGGAGAUUAAGGAGGAGGGGCAAAAUGCUUUAUGGGCUGGUUGCUGUUCCAAAAAGUGUCAGAAAUCAAUCGUCUGCUGUCUCACUGUGGUCUAGGGACGCUGACCCUGAGGAAAGCAAACCACGAGUCACCUCUCCAUCAACACACGAGGCUGCUGAGCUCUUCGGCUCCGGUUCCCCAUGUGCUGGGAGGAGAAGUGGGCCCGACACCACUGGCGUUACUAGGGCGGUCCUCCACCUUGAGAAGAGCGACAAACGCACGAGCCCAACGUGUGCCCCUCGUCCGCUGCCCACCAGGGACCGGGAUGCAACAUGAAGAGGACCCAAAGAGCAGGAGAAAGAAAUCAUGCCCACGGCUCCGUAUUCAGCCCUGGCUGUCCUUGGAUCCCAAGAGGCGGGAUGAUUGCCAGACUCCCCUUUUAUAUUGGUAAGGGC
Molecule: long non-coding RNA, 726 nt
Organism: Aquila chrysaetos chrysaetos
Lineage: Eukaryota; Metazoa; Chordata; Aves; Accipitriformes; Accipitridae
Exons: 3
Source: RefSeq, a predicted model, not a curated record